UACGUAGGUGGCAAGCGUUGUCCGGAAUUAUUGGGCGUAAAGCGCGCGCAGGCGGUCCUUUAAGUCUGAUGUGAAAUCCCACGGCUCAACCGUGGAGGGUCAUUGGAAACUGGGGGACUUGAGUACAGAAGAGGAGAGUGGAAUUCCACGUGUAGCGGUGAAAUGCGUAGAGAUGUGGAGGAACACCAGUGGCGAAGGCGACUCGUUGGUCUGUAACUGACGCUGAGGCGCGAAAGCGUGGGGAGCAAACAGG
Molecule: ribosomal RNA, 253 nt
Filed under: uncultured bacterium
Lineage: Bacteria
Description: partial 16S ribosomal RNA
Rfam family: Bacterial small subunit ribosomal RNA
Source: RNAcentral